AAAUUGACGGGGACCCGCACAAGCGGUGGAUGAUGUGGAUUAAUUCGAUGCAACGCGAAAACCUUACCUACCUUGACAUGUCCGGAAUCCUGCAGAGAUGCGGGAGUGCCCGAAAGGGAAUCGGAACACAGGUGCUACAUGGCUGUCGUCAGCUCGUGUCGUGAGAUGUUGGGUUAAGUCCCGCAACGAGCGCAACCCUUAUCAUUAGUUGCUACGCAAGGGCACUCUAAUGAGACUGCCGGUGACAAACCGGAGGAAGGUGGGGAUGACGUCAAGUCCUCAUGGCCCUUAUGGGUAGGGCUUCACACGUCAUACAAUGGUCGGUACAGAGGGUUGCCAAGCCGCGAGGUGGAGCCAAUCCCAGAAAGCCGAUCGUAGUCCGGAUUGUUCUCUGCAACUCGAGAGCAUGAAGUCGGAAUCGCUAGUAAUCGCGGAUCAGCAUGUCCGCGGUCGAAUACGUUCCCGGGCCUU
Molecule: ribosomal RNA, 471 nt
Filed under: uncultured Thiobacillus sp.
Lineage: Bacteria; Pseudomonadati; Pseudomonadota; Betaproteobacteria; Nitrosomonadales; Thiobacillaceae
Description: bacterial SSU rRNA
Rfam family: Bacterial small subunit ribosomal RNA
Source: RNAcentral